This is a long non-coding RNA of Hyposmocoma kahamanoa, 408 nucleotides long. RefSeq lists it as uncharacterized. The record is from RefSeq and is a predicted model, not a curated record. The transcript has 3 exons. NCBI's taxonomy places the organism in Eukaryota, Metazoa, Arthropoda, Insecta, Lepidoptera, Cosmopterigidae.
CAGGCCGGUCCAGCAGUCGAUAUGAUCAUCGCAAUGGUUGUCACUUGUAUGUCCUGUUACCAAAUUGCCGUCUCUUUACUGUUGCUGUGGCAGUCACUUAAAAUGGGCGGUAACGUAUUCUUAACUUCAUUGUGGUUGACAUCACAUUUCUCCAUCUUAGUUUUGUACUUUAUCCUCAUCGUCAUGAAGAUUAUGAUCAGUUUUGUCACUAAAGAAUUUUUGCAUGGGAUUCUCGUUAUGGCCGUCGGCGUUCUUUACGAAAGUCUUUUUACAUAUUUCACAAUAAUAGUCAACAGCUAUUUAGCGAAUUUGGACCGAGAAAGAUAUUAUUAAUUUUUAAUAUACGUAUACUUAUUCUUGAUGUAAGUGUUGAUUUUUUAAGUAGGUACUAUGUAAUUAAUUGUUAAC